UUUGAUUUUAUUUCAAGUGAAUUGGUUAGGAAAUGAUGAAUUAUGGUGAGAAAAUCAAGUAGGAAAAAUUAGUGUUGAUGCACCCACCAUGGCCGAAUUUUCCAAGAGAAAAUGUGAGGAUGAUUUUGCUAUAUUUCAAGUUAUUUAAUUUGUGUUUGAUGAUUUGGAGUAUUGGGAGAAAAAUAGAAUUAUUUGGAGUUGAAUUGGACAUAUUGGCC
RNAcentral lists this long non-coding RNA (218 nucleotides) under Theobroma cacao (cacao). Its description in RNAcentral is "long non-coding RNA (TCAC_LNC005441)". The record is from RNAcentral. Lineage: Eukaryota; Viridiplantae; Streptophyta; Magnoliopsida; Malvales; Malvaceae.